This 74-nucleotide transfer RNA is filed under the name Veillonella criceti. It matches the Rfam family "tRNA". From Rfam's summary of the family: Transfer RNA (tRNA) molecules are approximately 80 nucleotides in length. Their secondary structure includes four short double-helical elements and three loops (D, anti-codon, and T loops). The record is from Rfam by way of RNAcentral. Lineage: Bacteria; Bacillati; Bacillota; Negativicutes; Veillonellales; Veillonellaceae.
GCGUCUAUAGCUCAGUAGGAUAGAGCAGCAGUUUCCUAAACUGCGUGUCGGUGGUUCGAUUCCGCCUAGGCGCA